GAAAAAAUCAUGUCACUAUGUAGCAGGAACAGGAUAACUUAGAUCAUAAGGCAGAGCUAUCCACAGCUGGGCCUCAGACCAGGCCUCAGGCCAGGGCCUAGUAGGCCUAGUACGUCCAGCAUACGUAGUACCAGAUAAGGUUAUCUGGUACUGGGAAUGUGUUAAGGUAGGGGUGUUACUAGCAUGGAACAGUUACUGGGAAGACACGGUGGCUACCUUAAACUGCAAUAGCUUACAUACUUCUGUAUGUUCACUGCCUAUCAGAAUGCACCUGUUCUUGUAAACUAUUCUGUCUGUAUUUAACCUGCCAUCUCAAGGAAUAAAGGGAAGAAAGUGUGAUAUACCCACAUUGGGUCAGACCCCGUUCUUUAGUCCCCGAUCUUUAACUGUUCCCGGCAACAUAGUGGCACCUGAACCUGGGACAGUGUUUUCUCUUAAAUGAGGGUUUUUAUUUUCUCUUAAAUGAGGGUUUUUGUCGCUUGAAUGCGGAGUUUUUGCUUAGAUGCAGGAAAGUCCUUGUGCUUGGAAAGUGAUUCGUGUGCUUGCAUACACCUGUUCCGAGCUGGCAAGGCAGAUCAGGGAGCGAUUGCUGACUGGUUUCGCUUGGAAGGUCCGCGGUGCCCUCCCCCACUGCUGACGGAAAGAAGGUAAGCAGCGAUCGCAGAAGGAGUCAAAAAAAGACUUUAAAAAGAAACGAUGGCAAGAGAUUACGCUGCUGUUUUUCAGUGUGGAGCCAUCGGUGCCUCCCAGAGGGGCGAAAAGAUAAGAACUAAUAUGGAAAAAUUAGCCCUAUGGGUUCAGAAAGAACGAAAGCCAAAGCGGCCAUCGCUUCUUUUUAGUGAAGCAGGAUGGAAGGAAAAAGGAGGAUUAAUAUGGGACGCUGUAGUUUUACUAGGAAAAAGAGCAAAGAUACGUUCAGAGUUAAGCGUAAUUUGGGAAAAAGCAAUAAAUACCUUGCAAACAUUUGCUGUAAAGAGUAAGGCCGUAAUUUUAGUUGGAGAGGAACGGACUCCCUGUCCCUCUGUUUCCCUCUCCAAGAUAAAAAAAAAAAAAAAGAAAACAUCUAAGGUAGCUACGCGCUUCAGUAGAAAUUCCAUGCAUUCCACGCAUUCCGAAAGUGAGAAUGCAGCUCCGCUUUGCCCCUCCCUUUGUUCGUCUCUGGCCGGCUACGCAGGGAGUGGGCAGGAAAUGCUUUCUCCAGCUCUCGGGCAAAAUGAAGACAACCAGGAAGUGGCUCAGCUGCCAGACCCGGGAGGCGGUGCGAAAGACGAGAAGGCAGGCGGGGCCGAAGGCGGAACAAGGAGGGCACAAGUGAUGCAGCAAGGAGGUGGAUCUCGGGGCGGUGCUAGAAGCAGGGCGGUGUUGGAUUCCUCCUCACAGGAAAAGGAGCUGACGUCAUCACAAGCAAAAACAACCAAAAUAAAUGCGUCUAUGUCAACCCCCGAGAAACCAGACCCAGCUCGAUUAAAGGCUCUUGUGCUCCUGCAGUUGGCAUCAACGAACUCUAUCACCCUAUCGCUGCUUCUUAACAUGAGCCUUCUAUGUCUGCUCUGACUUUCUGUCUCUAAGAAGUGUCUCACAACCCCUCCUCGGACACCAGCCUGCUUUGCCCAUCCCUGCCCCAGGAGAAACAGCAGCACCCCAGGCUACUCCCUGCAUCUGAAGGUCAGAAAUAGAAAGAGGAUUUACUGGAGGUUUUCUUCCAAGAAGGUCGAAAAUAUGAACAAUCGAGACACCUGCUUGUUUUAAAAACCCUUUGUUUUCAAGUACCUCGUCCAUAAAUUUUAAACAUUGUUUCCUAAUUUAAAAUUGAACUCCAGCUACAAACUUCCAGCUUUUAGCCUUCACCUUUUACUGCCACAUUUACUCUUCCGGAGCCCUUUUGUUUGUAAUCAUGGUGUCCCCUCAAUCCUCGUUCCAACCACCUUUUAGUUAAAAUACUUCAAGUCAGCAAACUCCCAACCUUUCAACUAACAUCCAGGAUUGUAUCCCAGCUCAUAGGUGGAAUUAUGAGCCCAGGCAGUAUUCCAGCACGAACACAGCAAUAUCUAGGUGCACCCCAGCACCUCUCAGCUCUCCACCACCACUCCUCCAGCACCUGGUUUUCUUGGAAAGAGAAGGAAGCUGUGUUUUCUCUCACUGACUUCUCAGUAUAGACAACAUAUGGCUCAAAACUGUGAGGCAAUCUGCUCAGAGUCUGGCUGCACUCUCAGCUCUAACUCAAUACAGCUUUUCACUUAAAGUUUCUACGAAUACAAUUCCUUGGGGACAGCACUGAAAGACAACCCCAGUUCAUCGCACAUCCAGCCAAUGCAAGCCUGGAUCGAUCAGCUUGAAUAGACUUCCAUUUGUACAAAGAAAAAGGGGAAAAAUUUGCAUUUUUCUUUGCCCAUCCAUAUGUAGCUCAUCAAAAUCCAGUCUCCCACCUGCAAUUCUUUAAGCUAUGUAUGUAGAAGGAAACAAGAAACAGAAGGAUUUCUUCCCCCCUGGAUAAAUUGAUUCAAUUCCCCUGUCAUGCACUAGUGCUAAGGCACUGCCAUCUAGUGUGGAAAAUCAAUAUAACAAAGAAAGAGGAAAAAUAGAAAGGAAAAAAAAAAGAAAAUAAUAAUAAUAAAUAAAUAAAAGAGAGUAUUUACAAAAAGGCAGAUGAAAUUCUAUUGACUUGCAUCAAUUUUGAAUACCCACUCAUGAUAUUCAUAACAUUCAUCAUUCCACUUCAUGGUAAAGCACAGAAGCCCUCCCUUUUAAGGAAAAUCCCUGACCUGAUAGGCUGCAGUGGAUUCCAUUAGAUGGUACUGUGUCAUGUCAGACAAACUCAGCAGAGCCCUUAGUCCCAGUACCUCGUUUGGAGUAACUCUGUGAAACUAAAAUUCUACAGUAUUUAAUGGUAGGAAUCUCUUGGUAGAAAACAGCUUUUUCUUUAUUGCCACAUAUUUUACUGCAAAUUUACAGUUUCAAGACUUGAUUCUCUAAAUCAUGUCAUAUGGAAAGAAUUGCAACAUAGCAAUCUGCAAGACCAGAGAAUCAGAAAUUUUUGGAUUUUGUCAUUUUGUGUACUAGCCAAAGAUUUUCUCUUGCCUCCUAAACAUUCCUGUCCAUUCCAGUCCCAGUUUCCUCUGUUUUAUGUCCUGUGGAAUUACCUACAAUUGUUCAGUGAACGUGCAAAGGAUUUGACCUGUUUCACUUGGACCAGCUUUGUACGGAUGAAGUUAACUACACACGACAUGAGCCAAUGGAGCAUGGAUAGGAUAAAUUUACAAAAGCUGUAGAGCCUUCAUAAAGACCAGUGAUUAUAAACACCUUUAUAUUAUUUAGUAUUUCUACAGUUUGUAGUAAUCUCUGUAUUACCCCUGUUACAAUCGAGAAUUUUAAACACUUGAGUUACAAUGUUGCCGACUUCUUUCCAGAACUGUAGCAAGACAGGUUUAUGUUUGGCUGGUACAGAUAUUCUGUAUCAUCCUGAACAAAACCCUCUAUAGAAUACAAAGCUACAUCAACGACUGAAAGUUCACGCAACACAAGCCAAAGGGGCUUUAAUACCGUGUCACUUGAGUUUUGAUUUAUAUUUAAUGUGGAUGUAGAGGGACAGACUAGCUGACACCACCAAGACAUCCAGAUGUUCUCCAAGUGGAUGUAGGUGAGCUCAUAACAAGGGUAUCUGUACCAAUCUGCCCAAUCCCUCCAUUGCAAUAACUAGUGAUGGAAAUGCACUAUGCCUUAACAACAUGUGCCCCACUUAAAGGAAUAACUUUUGAGAAGAAAACAUAUUACUCUGGGCACAACUGACACAAUUACAUUGAUGUUAUUUUGACAAUCUACAACUGACACAAGAACCUACUUAAGAUUUUUUCAUUAUGCUGCUUCUCUAUGACCACGUAUCUAUAUUUAUCUAUUAGGUGUCAGUCAAAGCAAGCAAUAUUUCUGUUUUAAUUUGUUGUCAUAAGGGAAUUUUUAACAGCACAAAGAACCUUCAGUUACAUCACUUCAGACAUCUUUUCAGUAAUGUGAGAAAAGCAAGAUGAAUAUCCAACAUUUUUUAAAUAAUCCUAGUUACUAGUGCCUCAUGUUCUAUUCUUACAUUAAAAUUUCAAGAAGGAAAAAAAUUUAAACUGUUGAAAUAGCCUAAUAAUUAACUACCUUGUACUAAUGCUAUGCACCCAUUCCGCAGUGUAUUGCUAACAAGUAACUCCACAUUGCUCAUAUUUCCUUUACUAUUAUUUUUAAUAGUAAGAAAAAGGCUACCAAAAUAAUCCUCUUCAGCAUUUUUGCAGUUGCUACAUAAAUUGAUUCAAGCUGUGCUAGGGGGAAAAUACAGAGGCUGAAAAACAGCAGCAAAAAAAUAUGUCACAAUAAAGGAACUCAACACUGAUUAAAACCAUCAAAAUGGAGAGAAACCCAAAGAAAUGCAAGGCAGUCUGUCACCUUUAUGAGAGAGAGCACCAGAAUCUCUCUAAAGAAUGACAACAAAAAUGAUUGAAGUUUUAAACAGUGGUGAUUUUCUAAGUUUGUAAGAAUUCUUUCUCCAAGCAACAUCAUCAACAACCAGAGUACUAUCCAAUAUGCAGUUUGAUUACUUUUUCAGAUACGUUCUUAACUGUGGCCUAUUUAACAUUCUAUGGUCUUGAAUUCGGGUCAGAGAGUCAUGUAAGAAACAUUAUCCUGAAGCUACUCUUUCCAUUCUGAUACAACACACUGAUGUAAGUAAAAAUACAACAUAAAGCUAAAGGUUUGAAGUUUUUCACUUUGAGAAUAAUCAGAAUUUAUAGCUUUCCAGCUUCUACUUACCUGCAGCAGUUCACUUCUUUUCCAAGAAGUGUUUUCAAAUAGCCAAUGUCAAUGUAAAUCACAUCAGAGAAGAGAACCACAAGAUAACUUUGGAGUAGUCCAACCUCCUGCUCAAAAGCACGGCCAGUUAUGAGGUUGGAUCAGCUUAGCAGGGCUUGAUCCAGACAAGUCCUGAAAGCCUCAAAGGAUGCACAACAUGCACAGCAUCACUGUUCCAACACCUCCUGGAGGAAAUGGUUUGCCUUUUAUCAAGGAACUUUUAAAUCUAUUAGGAAGCUUGAAGGGUGAGUGUUAUAUGCCUACCACAUGUAGCAUUUAACACUCAAUUUCCUGAUCCACAGCCUAAAACCAUAUACCUUUUUGAAUAGAAGCUAUGGCAACAUGCUCUGGACCACUAGUAAUUGUCUAGUAGUAUUAUCAAGUGACUGCUUGAAAAUGAAGCAAAUAGCUUCUACUAGCAUUGCUUUCACUGUUACAAACUGACUUAAUUGAGCAAAUUAAUGAAUGAGAGCUAACCACUGCUAGAAAUCAAGGUGAACUUCGAUAAAAUAUCAAUUUUUGGAUUGCUAAACCUACACUAUAACCACAGGAUAAGGAAGGAAAGAAAUAAGUGAGGUUUAGUGCCAGUCACAGAGGUGAUAAGAAAAACCAAAUUUUCCAAAUCAGCAGUCUAAGUUCAAGGUUUUCUAUCCCUGCUGCUUGCCUGGUACUCAAGAUGCAGAUGGAAAUUUUCACUGAACUUGACUGGAUUUUCUGAAAAUACAUUCAAGAUUGAAAGCAUUGAUUUGGAGGCCAAUUUUACUCUCAUAUUAUUCUCAAACAUGAUUCAUUACAUGGCUCAUUAAAAAGGUUAACUAUUUUUGCUAAUAAUCUCACUAUGAUGACAGAGGAUAAUCCUGAUUUCAAAAUCAUGUAUUAAAAUAUUUAAAAAAAGGAUAUCUUCUCAAUGUUCAGAAUAUUUUUACUGUGUUCAGAAAAUACAGCUAAGCAACCACGCCAGGCUCCUUUGUACCUUUAUACAUCCCACGUGACAAUACAAAAAGUCUUGCAUACAUCAUUAAUAUUAAUUAAAAAUGAAACAUUUUGCCAUAGUCUAAAAAGCAAAUAACUUGUCACAUUUUUUUUUAAUUUCAAGUUACCUAUUGCUUAUAACAACUGCUCUUGUCCCUCUGUACUUUGCAGACAAAGAAUAUUUAGAUUAACUACACAAAGUUUGAGUUUACUAUUGAAUUUAAGCUGCUUCAGCAGCAUGGUUGCAGGAACACAAAGGGUGUGCCAUACCAUUGCAUAAAUAUUAGUUAGAUGCAACUCUGCUCUUACUGGUGCCUUUGACCAAGAACCCUUUGGUUUUCCUGCAUAGAAAUAACUCAAGGAGCUAUUGGUCAUGUAUUUUGUGCUAUAACAGGUUUUUAAACUGUGGAAUGCCCCACCUUGACUGAUUGCUCUAGCACUGAAGCAGACCUGUGAUUAUGGCACCUGGCCAGAGGUCCUUGGAGGAUGCAGCUCUUGGCUUAUUUGCUGGUAUUCACACAGGGUAGACAUGGCCUCAUAUAUAUAUACAUACCCAUGGGACACCCUCAGGGCUGCACCAGCCCUGACAGACCCACUGGGUUUCCCCAGCUGCCCAGGACACAUUCCAGCUGUACCCCUGGGGAUGGCAGACCCCAAGACAGCAGAACAGACACUCUCCAGCCCCCUCUCCAGCUCCCCGUGGCCUUGCAGCCACCUUGCCAAGUCCACCCAAAAGCACCACGAGCCCCACACAUGCUUUUGGCAAGGGUGACCAAUGUUCAGCCUUGCUCCUAAGUCCACGUCAGACUCCUCAAAUCAGAAAAGCAAAACCAUCUUGUAAAGCCAUGGACUUGCACAGGCCAUGCAGUUUUUAUUCAUGGCAUCCCUAGAAAUGGGAUUUAGGAAGGAAGCACUGCCAGGAGAUAGUCACUGGGGAACUGAUUAGACAGACAGCAUUUAACCUAAUCUCCUCUGCCAUGAGCACAUUCUGCUUCCUGUAAUCAAAUGUGAUCACAGAUGCAAUUAUUUAGGGGCAUAAUUCCACCAAUUUAGACACCAAACUACUUCAGCUACAAGUGGAAAAAAUAAAUACUGAAAGUAGAGGAGCAGAAAUGUGUGUUGUUAUGAUUGGAGGCUGAACUGCUAGACAGAUAAAAGUCAUAUGAAGAUAUAAACUUAGCAGGUUAUGACUUAAAAAAUUCCAAUAAUCUUCAAGUAUCUAAAUAACAAACAAUUCUGAAAAGUUUGUCCCUUCUAUCCUAACGACUUAUAGGGUUAUUUUGAGGGCAAAGGAUGUCAUUAUCUGCUACUCCAUAUGUUUUAGGGGGAACAAAACCACACAGACUGUGUGUCUCUCUGUCCAUAAGAUUUAGAGAGGUUAUAUUCACUUCCUGUAUCCCCAGAAACAAACUGACAGUGUGAAGAUGAUAAAUUUGUAUUUGCAAGCUAUGACAACAUUAGGAUAGGUAAACAAGCACAGCUUUCUAAGGGAUCGGUAACAGAAAACUGAAUUCUUGGGAAAGCAAAAAUUCCAAGCUGGAUUGCUAAUUACAGUGGUCUUAGCUCCAUUCCGUAAAGAUUUUUGUUUCACUCUUUAAAUAUGAUAAGGUUUAACUACACAUACAGAUUCUGAAAAUUCCUUCUGCAAAGAAGUGGCACUUCAAAUGGGUAAGUCAUGCAGAAAAGCACGUGUGGGAUUUGAUGCCAAAAUUUUGAAAUUAAAAGAGGACAGAAACAACCUUGCUUGAACAACAGUCCCAUUCCAUCUUGCAUCAUAAAUAGCUAAAUUAUUUUGUUCUUUCUUUUCUUCCCUGAAGUCCAUGUAGCUUCUGCAAUAUUGAUCACAUUUGUAUAAAGCUGUAUAAUGGUAUUUUUAGAAGGACAGAAUGAGUGAUAUUUAUAUUACCAAACACUGCAAAGAGACAAAAAUAGAUGGAAAGGCAAGAGUAGCCAUGCCUUUGCUUUGUUUCAGAACUGCUCAAAAGCCACAGUAGCCAUUAACAACAGAAAUAGUAACAGCUGUCCAAAAAGAACAAUACUGCCUAUAAAAGAGUUACUGUAAGAAGAAAGGGAAAGAAAAUGUGUUUACUAAAAAAAAAAAAAAAAAAAGGCAAAAA
Prinia subflava (tawny-flanked prinia) is the source of this 7913-nucleotide RNA transcript. RefSeq lists it as uncharacterized. The record is from RefSeq and is a predicted model, not a curated record. NCBI's taxonomy places the organism in Eukaryota, Metazoa, Chordata, Aves, Passeriformes, Cisticolidae. The transcript has 3 exons.